Molecule: ribosomal RNA, 1789 nt
Filed under: Gongylonema pulchrum
Lineage: Eukaryota; Metazoa; Nematoda; Chromadorea; Rhabditida; Gongylonematidae
Description: eukaryotic LSU rRNA
Rfam family: Eukaryotic large subunit ribosomal RNA
Source: RNAcentral
UUAACCUCAGCUCAGUCAUGAAUACCCGCUGAAUUUAAGCAUAUAACUAAGCGGAGGAAAAGAAACUAACGAGGAUUUCCCUAGUAACGGCGAGUGAACGGGAAAAAGCCCAGCGCUGAAUCCUUUUAGCCGUUGGCUCUAAGGAACUGUAGCGUAUAGGUGUAACUAUCCAGAUGAUUCGUUCACCCAAAGUCCCCUUGAGCGGGGCUACAGUCCAUAGAAGGUGCUAGGCCUGUACGGGUGGUGAAACGUUUGGUUUGGUUGCACUUUGGAGUCGGGUUGCCUGAGAUCGCAGCCCAAAGUGGGUGGUAAACCUCAUCUAAGGCUAAAUACGGCCACGAGACCGAUAGCAAACAAGUACCGUGAGGGAAAGUUGCAAAGAACUUUGAAGAGAGAGUUCAAGAGGGCGUGAAACCGCUGAGAUGGAAGCGGAUAGCGUUGACAAAACUUAUCGGUAUUCAACCGAUUAAUUUAGCGGUCUUACCGUUCUGUAUCUCUGGUGGUAAAACACAUGGAGAGCAUUGCGGUGAGUUUACUGUUGAAUUGAAUUGGUGUAUUUGCCGGUAGUAUGCGCCGAAAAUUUCGCUGUUGCAUAUUGAGACAUUUUUGGAUGUAGUGGACUGUACCAAUUUUGGUAUGGAAACCUGCAUUCUGUUAAAAUAUGUCUUCGGUGAAAUUACCAAGUGUAUUGUAACUUUCGAUUCACACAACUGUGUGUAUUGCAUUCAUUGCAUCUUGCAAUUGUUACAGUUUGUAUGCAGUCGCUUGCGACUUUUUGGCUUCAAUUUGUUCUUUGCAAAUGCGGUUCAGAUUCAAUGCGAUAAAGUUGCAUUUCGGUGUGAACGUCAACCACCUAUCCGACCCGUCUUGAAACACGGACCAAGGAGUUUAGCAUAUGCGCAAGCUAUUGGGUGGUAAACCCGUUCAAAAGACACAAUGAAAGUAAAGAUCAUUAUUGUUUUGAUUGUUAUGUGAUCCGUAUUGUUGUUAAUACAAUACGGCGCAACAUGGCCCCGUCCAUGUUUAGCUCUUUGAGCAAACGGGGCGGAGAUAGAGCGUAUACGCUGAGACCCGAAAGAUGGUGAACUAUGCCUGAGCAGGAUGAAGCCAGAGGAAACUCUGGUGGAGGUCCGAAGCGAUUCUGACGUGCAAAUCGAUCGUCCGACUUGGGUAUAGGGGCGAAAGACUAAUCGAACUAUCUAGUAGCUGGUUCCCUCUGAAGUUUCCCCCAGGAUAGCUGGAGUACAGCAAAAGCACAGUUAUAUUCGGUAAAGCGAAUGAUUAGAGGAAUUGGGAACGAAACGUUCUCAACCUAUUCUCAAACUUUCAAUGGGUAUGAAGUUUCGCUUGCUUAACACAUUUUGAAGCGAUAACAUUGAAUGUGUGCUCCAAGUGGGCCAUUUUUGGUAAGCAGAACUGGCGCUGUGGGAUGAACCAAACGUUGAGUUAAAGUGUCAAACUUCCCGCUCAUGAGACCCCAUGAAAGGCGUUGGUUGAUAUAGACAGCAGGACGGUGGCCAUGGAAGUCGGAAGCCGCUAAGGAGUGUGUAACAACUCACCUGCCGAAUCAACUAGCCCUGAAAAUGGAUGGCGCUUGAGCGGGAGACUUAUACUCAACCGUUGCUCGGCUUGUGCUCGUUUAAAAGAGAAAAAAAAAAAAUAAAAAGCAAACACACAUCCAUACGUGUAUGAUGAUGUACACUAAACGAAAAGCCUGGCCGCAACGAGUAAGAGGGUCGCAGUGGUUUGCGUUGAAGGCUUUGGGCGUAGGCCCGGCUGAAGCUUCCAC